Molecule: ribosomal RNA, 494 nt
Filed under: uncultured bacterium
Lineage: Bacteria
Description: partial 16S ribosomal RNA
Rfam family: Bacterial small subunit ribosomal RNA
Source: RNAcentral
GACGAACGCUGGCGACGCGCUUAACACAUGCAAGUCGAACGGAAAGGCCUGCUUUCCCUUGUGGAUUGCGGGUACUCGAGUGGCGAACGGGUGAGUAACACGUGAGUGAUCUGCCCCCAACUUGGGUAUAAGCCUGGGAAACUGGGUCUAAUUCCCGAUAGGACUGCAGGGUGGUGCCGGUGGUGGCAAACGAUUUUCUAGUGGUUGGGGAUGAGCUCGCGGCCUAUCAGCUUGUUGGUGGGGUAAUGGCCUACCAAGGCGGGGUCGGGUAGCCUGCCUGGGAGGGUGGACGGCCACAUUUGGCCGGCGAUACGGCCCCUACGCCUACGGGCGGCAGCAGUGGGGAAUAAUGCGCGAGGGGCGGAAGCCUGAUGCAGCGACGCCGCGUGGGGGAUGCCGGCCUUCGGGUUGUAACCUCCUUUCGACCGCGAGGAAGCCACCUGGUUGGAAGGGUGGUGACGGUAGUGGUAGAAGAAGCACCGGCUAACUACGUG